CGACAGGGGGGAUAACUAUUGGAAACGAUAGCUAAGACCGCAUAGGUACGGACACUGCAUGGUGACCGUAUUAAAAGUGCCUCAAAGCACUGGUAGAGGAUGGACUUAUGGCGCAUUAGCUGGUUGGCGGGGUAACGGCCCACCAAGGCGACGAUGCGUAGCCGACCUGAGAGGGUGACCGGCCACACUGGGACUGAGACACGGCCCAGACUCCUACGGGAGGCAGCAUG
This 230-nucleotide ribosomal RNA is filed under the name uncultured bacterium. RNAcentral's name for it is "partial 16S ribosomal RNA". It matches the Rfam family "Bacterial small subunit ribosomal RNA", at positions 133 to 353 of the family's 1533-position model. The record is from RNAcentral.